GGAUGAACGCUGGCGGCGUGCCUAAUACAUGCAAGUCGAACGAAACUUCUUUAUCACCGAGUGCUUGCACUCACCGAUAAAGAGUUGAGUGGCGAACGGGUGAGUAACACGUGGGCAACCUGCCCAAAAGAGGGGGAUAACACUUGGAAACAGGUGCUAAUACCGCAUAACCAUAGUUACCGCAUGGUAACUAUGUAAAAGGUGGCUAUACUACCGCUUUUGGAUGGGCCCGCGGCGCAUUAGCUAGUUGGUAGGGUAAAGGCUUACCAAGGCAAUGAUGCGUAGCCGAAUUGAGAGGUUGAUCGGCCACAUUGGGACUGAGACACGGCCCAAACUCCUACGGGAGGCAGCAGUAGGGAAUCUUCCACAAUGGGCGAAAGCCUGAUGGAGCAACGCCGCGUGGGUGAAGAAGGUCUUCGGAUCGUAAAACCCUGUUGUUAGAGAAGAAAGUGCGUGAGAGUAACUGUUCACGUUUCGACGGUAUCUAACCAGAAAGCCACUGCUAACUACGUG
Molecule: ribosomal RNA, 513 nt
Filed under: uncultured bacterium
Lineage: Bacteria
Description: partial 16S ribosomal RNA
Rfam family: Bacterial small subunit ribosomal RNA
Source: RNAcentral